CAUAGAUAUGUUUAAAAUGGUCAACCUUGAGAACUGCCGACAGACCUCGCCGUCACCAACCAAACCAUUCUAUCCUUCUCCUCAUCGAUCGGCCCAUCAUAAUCAGAGAGAAGCCCACUCGAUCGAUCGAGUUUUGCGCCUAAUUCUCUGCUUUGUCUCACCAUCUCCAUCCUCAGAUUAAUCGAGACUUGAUAAUGGAUAACAUAUCAUCAGAGAAGGAGAUUUCUCUAGAAUUUGUACGGGAAUCGCUAAUGGCAAUCUCACAGUGUCUACCAGAUAUCGUUGCAUCAGAUGGGUCUCCUGUUAAGCCAGCAGCAGUUGCUGCUGAUGCUUUUGUUGACCAAAAUGAUGGUACUGGAGCAGAUGAUUAUAUGUCUAAACUGAUGUCAAUCUCUUACAUGCAGUCACCAGAUGUGAAACCUUCACUGCCAUUAGUGGAAAAUCCUGGUUCAUAGGAAGGAUGGAUCUCUUGCUUGAUGUACUUUGUACUUUUUAUGUUGAAGAAGUUCUUAUGUAAAAUUGUAUUAAGUGGUUCUGGAAUCCAACUUUGCAAACUGAAACCAGAAAACUAGUAACUAUGCCAAACAUGUACUUUUAUUA
Molecule: long non-coding RNA, 600 nt
Organism: Musa acuminata AAA Group (dessert banana)
Lineage: Eukaryota; Viridiplantae; Streptophyta; Magnoliopsida; Zingiberales; Musaceae
Exons: 2
Source: RefSeq, a predicted model, not a curated record